GAACCCUUUCUCUUCUCUCUCUAUUCGCUUUCGCUCAUUCUCAUUCGAAACCCUUUUCUCCCUGUUCUCAGAUUCACGCUACCGCAAAACCCUUUCUUUUUUCUGGCUUCCAAAUAAACUUAAAUGCUAGAUUUCGAUUAUCUUCUGCACUAGGGAUUGCUUUGUAACUUCAUUACAUCAAAUUAGAGGAGAAAAUGCUCAAUUAGGUUUUACUUGCUGUUUGUACAAUACUUUUUAUGAAUGGGGAUUCUGCACCUUUGAAUACACGACCCUGUAAGUGAUGAAGGUAGGUGAAGAGCCCAUGCUUUCUAUUGCUGUUUUUUCACUUAUUGCUUUCCAUGCUUUCUUUUCUUGAAGAUUUAACUCAGAUGAUAUUUUCCAUUUGUUUUUUACAAUUCAAAAUUUAAUUUGGUUUAGUUUAUUGUUUAUUUUCCUCUGUUUCCAUUGUUUUUACAGUUUAAGCUUUUCUUUUUUUAACAAUUCAAGAUUUAAUUUAUUUUGGUUUAGUGUAUGUUUGUUUUCCCGAUGAAGCACCACCGCUACCGCGCGUUCAAUAGAAGCUGGAAAGUGUAGCUUUUACAUUAACGUGCUUUGGGAUGCGAUAAUGGUUCUUCACAAACUAAACAUGGUUGCACAAGCAGAGCUGAAGCAUGGGAAUGGAUUGCACUUUGAUGAUUGAGAACCAAUUCGAUAGUUUUCAUGUUGAGUUAGAUUGUUCACCUUUCGAAUAUGUCGGACGGACAGGGAACCUACAAUAAUGUUUAUAAAGCUCUAGCUCCAGACACGAGAUAUCACAAGAGAUAUCAUGGCUCUAAGUUGUGAUGCUAUGGUACAUAGCUAACGAGUUGAUGAUAAGUUCACUAUGUUUUAUAGUUGUUUCUUAUGCAAUAGGUGUCGGAUGCAAAUUGUGGUAGUUAUUGUAAAAUCUUUAAAAUUAAUUUAUGAUGUUAUUAAUUUCGUUAUUUUGUAUAUGGUUUAUUGAGUCUGAAGUAGCAUUUUCUGAAAUUUUCUUUUACAUUGUUUAUUAUUUUUUUAUACAAAGGAGGUAAUAGGCAACGGUUUUAUCGUGUGGCUUAAACAAAAACCGUGGACUAACAUUAAUUAAUAAAUUGUAGAAUAAUUAAUAGGCAACGGUUAUAUAGGUGUAGCUAAAACAAAACCGUAGUCUAUAAGUAGUUCAAAAACCGCAGCCUAUUCACGUAUUUAGGCAACGCUUAUCUUCAACCGUGGGAUAAAGUGACAAAACCGUAGCUUAUAAGAAUAGGCAACGGCGGUUUAUUCCACGCCUAAAAAACCGUAGGCUAAAGGCUUAGGCUACGGUUUUUUGAUAUUUAGCCACGGUUUUCUGUCAUUGCCUAAACUCAUUUUUGUUGUAGUGCUUCUUCGGAGAAAUGAGAUUCAAGUAUCCUUGAAUCAAGACCCAAUCCACAAUUAAAACGGGGCUGUUCGGAGAAGUAAUACCAAGAUCUCCCCAAAUCCAAUCCUCUCCCACCCAACCACCCAUGCUCCCCACCGAAACAUCUUUCAAAAGAGACGCCGAAUACAAAGAAGGAAAUAUGUCCCGCAAACAAACAUUAGACAACCAAGGAGAAUGCCAAAAAGAAGUGGAAAAUCCAUUA
Molecule: long non-coding RNA, 1619 nt
Organism: Vicia villosa (hairy vetch)
Lineage: Eukaryota; Viridiplantae; Streptophyta; Magnoliopsida; Fabales; Fabaceae
Exons: 4
Source: RefSeq, a predicted model, not a curated record